This 694-nucleotide ribosomal RNA is filed under the name uncultured bacterium. Its description in RNAcentral is "bacterial SSU rRNA". It matches the Rfam family "Bacterial small subunit ribosomal RNA", at positions 94 to 801 of the family's 1533-position model. The record is from RNAcentral.
AGUGGCGAACGGGUGAGUAACGCGUGAGCAACCUGACCAGUUGAGGGGGAUAACACCUGGAAACAAGUGCUAAUACCGCAUAAGACCACGACCCGGCAUCGGGAUGAGGUCAAAGGAGAGAUCCGCAAUUGGAGGGGCUCGCGUCCCAUUAGAUAGUUGGCGGGGUAACGGCCCACCAAGUCCGCGAUGGGUAGCCGAGCUGAGAGGCUGAUCGGCCACACUGGAACUGAGACACGGUCCAGACUCCUACGGGAGGCAGCAGUGGGGAAUAUUGGGCAAUGGGCGCAAGCCUGACCCAGCAACGCCGCGUGAGGGAAGAAGGCUUUCGGGUUGUAAACCUCUGUCCUUGGUGACGAAGAAAGUGACGGUAGCCAAGGAGGAAGCCCCGGCUAACUACGUGCCAGCAGCCGCGGUAAUACGUAGGGGGCGAGCGUUGUCCGGAAUUACUGGGCGUAAAGGGUGCGUAGGUGGCGAAUUAAGUUGGAUGUGAAAUACCCGGGCUUAACUUGGGGGGUGCAUCCAAUACUGGUUAGCUAGAGUGCAGGAGAGGGAAGCGGAAUUCCUAGUGUAGCGGUGAAAUGCGUAGAUAUUAGGAGGAACACCAGUGGCGAAGGCGGCUUUCUGGACUGUAACUGACACUGAGGCACGAAAGCGUGGGGAGCAAACAGGAUUAGAUACCCUGGUAGUCCACGCU